This 20-nucleotide microRNA is filed under the name Sycon ciliatum. Its description in RNAcentral is "sci-miR-7642-5p". Lineage: Eukaryota; Metazoa; Porifera; Calcarea; Leucosolenida; Sycettidae. The record is from miRBase by way of RNAcentral.
UCUUGUUACGGUACGUCUUC